UUUAGGAGGGCUUUUGUGAUGCAGUUACAGUAUCCUUACCUCUGAUCCAGGAGCCUGGGUUCAAGUCCUACCAGCUCCAGAAAUAUGUAACGACACCUAUGAACAGGUCUUCAAGCAAUACGUAUGUUCCUCCGUGAAUCCUCCAAUGUACAUAGAUAGUCAGCUUGGCCUCACUUGUCACUUUCCGUUCAAAAUGUGGUGCAUUAUAAUCUGGAGACUAGAGGAUGUGUAAAGCCUUAGAGAAAAAAAAUGCUGCUCCGUGACUUCAGUACCUGAACAUUUGAAAGUACAAUUUGACUUUUUUCUGUCUGUUCGUCAGUGGAAAAUAUUUCUCUUUUUUAAAAAAAAAAAUGUAUUGACAUUGUGAACUACUGCUUGACAUUAAUUUGCUGUGAAGAUGUAGUUGUCUUGUGAAACUGGAUUGGAGAGUUGACUUAAAGCUUUCAGCCCGCUCCUCUUUGUUAGAUACAAGACGUGGAACACUAGUGCAGCUACAAAAUUAUUUCAAUUUGACUGUUUAAUAACGCAUCAAGGUUGCAAAGACUGUCACACAAACAGAUAUGAGAACAAUGCCUCCACAGCUUUGUGAUUUGCCAGCUAGAAGAAGUCAUUGUGUUUUAUGAUAAAAAUGAAAAUGAUUUUCUUUUUUUGUGGAUAAAAUGUAUAGCAGAAUGAAAGGCUCAGUUGCUGUUAGCCAUACAUCCCAUGAAUGAAUUAAAAAACA
This is a non-coding RNA of Chiloscyllium plagiosum (whitespotted bambooshark), 724 nucleotides long. The record is from RefSeq and is a predicted model, not a curated record. NCBI's taxonomy places the organism in Eukaryota, Metazoa, Chordata, Chondrichthyes, Orectolobiformes, Hemiscylliidae.